CCUGUUGCUGGGUCCUGUAACAGG
Marinobacter sp. HL-58 is the source of this 24-nucleotide non-coding RNA. The record is from Rfam. Lineage: Bacteria; Pseudomonadati; Pseudomonadota; Gammaproteobacteria; Pseudomonadales; Marinobacteraceae.